GACCCAGUAGCGGAGUGUCCGCGCCCGAAUUAUGUAGCUCUGCAAUGAGGUCGAAGCGGGAACCCUGGUUCGACUGCAGGCUGGGUCA
Non-coding RNA from Mycena vulgaris, 88 nucleotides. The record is from the annotation of a GenBank genome assembly. NCBI's taxonomy places the organism in Eukaryota, Fungi, Basidiomycota, Agaricomycetes, Agaricales, Mycenaceae.